Molecule: non-coding RNA, 101 nt
Organism: Dichomitus squalens LYAD-421 SS1
Lineage: Eukaryota; Fungi; Basidiomycota; Agaricomycetes; Polyporales; Polyporaceae
Source: the annotation of a RefSeq genome assembly
GGCCCAAUGGUCUAGUAGUAUGAUACGCGCUUCGGGUUAUUCCCCCUGGUUUGUGAAUCGGGAAAUGCGCGGGGUCCCGGGUUCAAUUCCCGGUUGGGCCC